Molecule: unclassified non-coding RNA, 397 nt
Filed under: uncultured Gemmatimonadaceae bacterium
Lineage: Bacteria; Pseudomonadati; Gemmatimonadota; Gemmatimonadia; Gemmatimonadales; Gemmatimonadaceae
Description: contains 16S-23S intergenic spacer region
Source: RNAcentral
UCCGGUUUGGCACCGGCAGUCCCCCUAGAGUCCCCGGCUUGGCCUUGUUGAGGGGCCGCUCCGCUGGCAACUAGGGGCGGGGGUUGCGCUCGUUGCGGGACUUAACCCAACAUCUCACGACACGAGCUGACGACAGCCAUGCAGCACCUGUGCGCGGGCUCCGAAGAGGGGCCGGCGUCUCUGCCGGCUUUCCCGCGCAUGUCAAGCCCAGGUAAGGUUCUUCGCGUUGCGUCGAAUUAAACCACAUGCUCCACCGCUUGUGCGGGCCCCCGUCAAUUCCUUUGAGUUUCAGCCUUGCGGCCGUACUCCCCAGGCGGGGCACUUAAUGCGUUAGCGCCGGCACCCGGGGGGUCGCUCCCCCAGGCACCUAGUGCCCAUCGUUUACGGCGUGGACUAC